AGAGUUUGAUCCCGGCUCAGGAUGAACGCUGGCGGCGUGCUUAACACAUGCAAGUCGAACGGACUUUAAAUGAAACCUGGUGAUUUUAAAGUUAGUGGCGGACGGGUGAGUAACGCGUGGGUAACCUGCCUUGUACUGGGGGACAACAGUUGGAAACGACUGCUAAUACCGCAUAAGCGCACAGCUUCGCAUGAAGCAGUGUGAAAAACUCCGGUGGUACAAGAUGGAUCCGCGUCUGAUUAGCUGGUUGGUGAGGUAACGGCUCACCAAGGCGACGAUCAGUAGCCGGCCUGAGAGGGUGAACGGCCACAUUGGGACUGAGACACGGCCCAAACUCCUACGGGAGGCAGCAGUGGGGAAUAUUGCACAAUGGGGGAAACCCUGAUGCAGCGACGCCGCGUGAGUGAAGAAGUAUUUCGGUAUGUAAAGCUCUAUCAGCAGGAAAGAAAAUGACGGUACCUGACUAAGAAGCCCCGGCUAACUACGUGCCAGCAGCCGCGGUAAUACGUAGGGGGCAAGCGUUAUCCGGAUUUACUGGGUGUAAAGGGAGCGUAGACGGUGAGGCAAGUCUGAAGUGAAAUGCCGGGGCUCAACCCCGGAACUGCUUUGGAAACUGUCUGACUAGAGUGCAGGAGAGGUAAGUGGAAUUCCUAGUGUAGCGGUGAAAUGCGUAGAUAUUAGGAGGAACACCAGUGGCGAAGGCGGCUUACUGGACUGUAACUGACGUUGAGGCUCGAAAGCGUGGGGAGCAAACAGGAUUAGAUACCCUGGUAGUCCACACUGUAAACGAUGAUUACUAGGUGUUGGAGGAUUGACCCCUUCAGUGCCGCAGUUAACACAAUAAGUAAUCCACCUGGGGAGUACGACCGCAAGGUUGAAACUCAAAGGAAUUGACGGGGGCCCGCACAAGCAGUGGAGUAUGUGGUUUAAUUCGACGCAACGCGAAGAACCUUACCAAGUCUUGACAUCCUGCGACGCACAUAGAAAUAUGUGUUUCCUUCGGGACGCAGAGACAGGUGGUGCAUGGUUGUCGUCAGCUCGUGUCGUGAGAUGUUGGGUUAAGUCCCGCAACGAGCGCAACCCUUAUGGUCAGUUACUACGCAAGAGGACUCUGGCCAGACUGCCGUUGACAAAACGGAGGAAGGUGGGGAUGACGUCAAAUCAUCAUGCCCUUUAUGACUUGGGCUACACACGUACUACAAUGGCGUUAAACAAAGAGAAGCAAGACCGCGAGGUGGAGCAAAACUCAGAAACAACGUCCCAGUUCGGACUGCAGGCUGCAACUCGCCUGCACGAAGUCGGAAUUGCUAGUAAUCGCAGAUCAGCAUGCUGCGGUGAAUACGUUCCCGGGCCUUGUACACACCGCCCGUCACACCAUGAGAGCCGGGGGGACCCGAAGUCGGUAGUCUAACCGCAAGGAGGACGCCGCCGAAGGUAAAACUGGUGAUUGGGGUGAAGUCGUAACAAGGUA
This 1471-nucleotide ribosomal RNA is filed under the name metagenome. RNAcentral describes it as "bacterial SSU rRNA". It matches the Rfam family "Bacterial small subunit ribosomal RNA". The record is from RNAcentral.